This is a long non-coding RNA of Xiphophorus hellerii (green swordtail), 1079 nucleotides long. RefSeq lists it as uncharacterized. NCBI's taxonomy places the organism in Eukaryota, Metazoa, Chordata, Actinopteri, Cyprinodontiformes, Poeciliidae. The record is from RefSeq and is a predicted model, not a curated record. The transcript has 3 exons.
ACAUGGUGAAGUUUUAAUGAUUUAAAAACAUUUAAAAUUGCAUCCAGCCAGAGCCGGGGAGACGAUCUGUACUUGGAAAGCUUUUGUUCAUUUGAGCUUGGAUCAAAGACGGCGGCAUCUUGGUUUUUUGGCUCACUUUCUGUGAGAAGUUUUAACUUUAGGGAUGAAGUGAGAGCUAAACCAGGAAUAGAUCAUUACAAGUACGACGGUUUCCGUGUAGCAAAUGAAAACAUACAUUGAGGUAAGACAGCUUGGUUUAUUGUACUACACUGAAAUGUUUAAUUUGUACAUUUUACUUGUGGUUUUGGGUCGGCUGUAGUUUUUGGUCUUUGCUGUUGUUGACGUGUGAUGCUAACUGAGCAAGUAUUUGCUGAUUUUAGGGGAUUAAAAUGGCUGAAAGCAGAUUUUUAACGCAGUACUUUGAUUUUAUAAUACAGGCAUGUAAAUAACGAAUGCUUUGCAACAUUUUCACUUUAUGUUUUAACCUCAAACUGAAAUGUUUGUCUUGGGAUUUUAUGUGAUAGAGAAACAAAGUAACACAUAAUUGUUGUGAGGUGGAAGAAAAGUAAAAUAAUGCUGUUGUUUUUUAAUUAUUUCGUUUUUGUUAUGUAUAAAUAAUCUGAAAAGUGUGUUGUGCAUUUAGUUCAAAUGGUUUCCAGGCAUGCAUAAAUAUGGAAAAACAAAGCAAAAAUACAAAAAUAUAUUAUUUCUUUAUUUCUGUCCAUCCUUUCAUUCUAGUGUCUGCCCUUCUUUCUCGUUUGUAUUUUAACUUUUCUUCCUCUCUUCUUCCCUAUGUGCCUUCACUGAUUUUCUUUCAUGUUGUUUUGUUAGAAAAAUGUGCAGCAACCUUGUUGACAGUUUAAAGUUUUUAGCUGCCUCUUUUCUUAGUCUUGCAAAGCUCUGUCCAAUAUUUCAAUAAAAUAUAUUUCAGUUUGUGGCUUUAAAAUACAGAUUUGAAUUUCCAGUCACUUGAGGAAACUGUAUUAGUGAUUAAUAUUUCUGCUCCAGAAAUUAGAUAUUCCAUUUUUAGUUCAAUACAUUUACUUUUUAAUUGGUCACCAAAUGAUUUAUAGAAUAAA